CGGGGUGAGUAACGCGUGGGUAACCUGCCUCAUACAGGGGGAUAACAGUUAGAAAUGACUGCUAAUACCGCAUAAGCGCACAGUGCUGCAUGGCACAGUGUGAAAAACUCCGGUGGUAUGAGAUGGACCCGCGUCUGAUUAGCUAGUUGGUGGGGUAACGGCCUACCAAGGCGACGGUCAGUAGCCGGCCUGAGAGGGUGAACGGCCACAUUGGGACUGAGACACGGCCCAA
This 232-nucleotide ribosomal RNA is filed under the name uncultured bacterium. RNAcentral describes it as "partial 16S ribosomal RNA". It matches the Rfam family "Bacterial small subunit ribosomal RNA", at positions 104 to 334 of the family's 1533-position model. The record is from RNAcentral.